GAAUUUUGGACAACGGGCGAAAGCCUGAUCCAGCAAUGCCGCGUGCAGGACGAACUCCUUCGGGUUGUAAACUGCUUUUGUACGGAAAGAAAAGCUUUUGCUUAAUACCCUGGAGUUAUGACGGUACCGUAAGAAUAAGCCCACGCUAUCUCCGUGCCAGCUGCCGCGUUAAUGCGUAGGGUGCACGAGUUAAUCGGAAUUACUGGGCGUAAAGCGUGCGCAGGCGGUUUUGGAAGACAGAGGUGAAAUCCCCGGGCUCAACCUGGGAACUGCCUUUGUGACUGCAAGGCUAGAGUACGGCAGAGGGGGGUGGAAUUCCGCGUGUAGCAGUGAAAUGCGUAGAUAUGCGGAGGAACACCGAUGGCGAAGGCAACCCCCUGGGCCUGUACUGACGCUCAUGCACGAAAGCGUGGGGAGCAAACA
RNAcentral lists this ribosomal RNA (423 nucleotides) under uncultured bacterium. Its description in RNAcentral is "partial 16S ribosomal RNA". It matches the Rfam family "Bacterial small subunit ribosomal RNA", at positions 359 to 774 of the family's 1533-position model. The record is from RNAcentral.